CCCAUCCUCCUACUUUAGGCAGCCUUUAUGAAUAUUGUUCCAUGGCCGAGAUUCUUACCCAGCCACUUCUCUUGAGGGAUUACUUCCCUACGGUUUUUCAACCUCUUUUUUCCUGGAGCAACUUUCUCCACGUGUUUCUCUUUGCGAGUCCCUUCCGAAAAAGCCUCUUCUAACUCCUUUCCCUCAGCCGCUUUCCUCCGGAGGAUUCUCUCGUUAUCCGGAUUUAUUGGGUUUAAAGGUUGCGCAGGCGGAAUGUCAAGGAAGAGGUAAAAUUUAGGGGAUCAACCCAGUCGUGCCGUUGAAAAUGGCGUUCUUGAGUGAGCGAGAAGGAUGCGGAAGGAGGGGUGUAGCGGUGAAAUGCAUAGAGAGAAAGCAGAACGAAGAGGGCGAAGGAAGAAGACCGGCGCUAAACUGACGCUCAUGCACGAAAGCGUGGGGAUAGAACAGGAUUAGAUACCCGUGUA
Molecule: ribosomal RNA, 464 nt
Filed under: uncultured bacterium
Lineage: Bacteria
Description: bacterial SSU rRNA
Rfam family: Bacterial small subunit ribosomal RNA
Source: RNAcentral